Molecule: non-coding RNA, 200 nt
Organism: Oryza glaberrima (African rice)
Lineage: Eukaryota; Viridiplantae; Streptophyta; Magnoliopsida; Poales; Poaceae
Source: Rfam
UUACUACUCAACCAUAAGUUUCCGUGUCCAACUUUAAUAGUCCGUUUUAUUUAUUUUUUAAAAAAAAAACUAAAAAAAUAAGUCACACAUAAAGUAUAAUUCAUGUUUUAUAAUCUAAUAACAAUAAAAAUACUAGUCAUAAAAAAUUAAAUAAGGUGAACUAUUAAAGUUUGACACGAAAAUUUAUGGUUGUGUUUAUU